Molecule: non-coding RNA, 303 nt
Organism: Pelobates cultripes (western spadefoot toad)
Lineage: Eukaryota; Metazoa; Chordata; Amphibia; Anura; Pelobatidae
Source: the annotation of a GenBank genome assembly
CUAAACCUUUACUCAAAAUAAAUGGAUAAGGAAAUUACUUAUCUAAUGAAUUAUUAAGACACUCAGCCACAAUUUCGUAUAAGUUGUGGUCAUUAAAGGUAAAAAAAGAUGCAUGUGUCUUUACGAAGUAUCCAUUACAUACGGGAAUACGGAUUCCCUCCUGAGACUAAACCUUCAAUGUCACUCAACAAAUAACUAUCUGUACCACAUUUAUUAUAGAAAGAGCCUUCAAAAUGGAUUUGUCUUUCAUGCCAACAAGGGAUUAACACUAGACAAUUCUCUACCCUGGAUGACACAUAUCCC